This 253-nucleotide ribosomal RNA is filed under the name uncultured bacterium. Its description in RNAcentral is "partial 16S ribosomal RNA". It matches the Rfam family "Bacterial small subunit ribosomal RNA", at positions 524 to 776 of the family's 1533-position model. The record is from RNAcentral.
UACGUAGGGGGCAAGCGUUGUCCGGAAUUAUUGGGCGUAAAGAGCGCGUAGGCGGUCCGGUAAGUCAGCUGUGAAAGGCAAGGGCUCAACCCUUGAAUGCCGGUUGAUACUGUCGGGCUAGAGUCCGGAAGAGGCGAGUGGAAUUCCCGGUGUAGCGGUGAAAUGCGCAGAUAUCGGGAGGAACACCAAUGGCGAAGGCAGCUCGCUGGGACGGUACUGACGCUGAGACGCGAAAGCGUGGGGAGCAAACAGG